AAAGUCAUGGUAUUUUUAGUGCACUUUUUAAUUCAUAUUCUUGUUGAACAUUAGAAGUCAGCCAUAAUUAAAAGAUUUACAAACAAAGACUGAGAUUAAAUUCAAUUUUCACAUCACAUCAUACACAACACACAAAACAAUAAGUUAAAGACAAAGAAAAGGACGUUUCAUCCCUCUAAAUGUCUCCAUAUAUAUUAGAAAUUCCUCUUGUUGGUGAAAAGCAGAAAGUUUUACAGAGAGUUUAGAAAACUCAAAGUCACACUUCAACAAAAAACAUUUCUGAAUGCUGAAUCAGGAAGAGGACUCAUCAUGAAUGAAACACUGAUGACUCCAUUCAUAAUAUCAAAGUCAAUCGUUUUAAGACCACCUUCUUCAUAACCUUUAAUCAUAUCACUUUUACAUAUAUAAUGAAUUCAUUUUCCAUAAAUUCAAAAUUUAUCUUGUUAAAAUAACUCAUGUUGUGUCUGUUACAGAUCCAGGGUCUGCAGUCAGGUGUGUUUGUCCAUCAGUGUUCAGCUGUCUGUCUGCUGUCUGGAGGAUGAUGACUUCUGUUUGUUCCUCUGAGGAAAUGGAUCAUCAGUCUCUGUAUGUUCCUCUCUCUGUAGAGGAGACCCGACCAGAACCGGCCCAGAGUUCAGUGCGGCCAUGCAGUGAUGGAGAAAGUUACUUUUAAAAAUGUUAAGGCCAGAAGUGGAAUCAGUAAUCCUUAGGCUGAAGGAAAUGCAAAUUCACAGCUGUACAGUAGAGGGCGCUGCUCAAACAAACCUUUCAGCUGCUGCUGAAGAAAGAUCUACUCUUAUUUUAGCAAUAAAUAAAAAAUAAACAAAUAUGAUGUUUGUCUAAAACCAUUUUUGCUCAUUGGUUGAAUUGGAUCAUUGAAGGUCAGCAGCAAAGACACUUUAUGAAGUGAGAUUAAAUACAUAAAGUAUAUUUGUGUCAUUUAACAUAUUUCAUUAUUGCAGGUUCACAUAAUAUUCAGAGUUUGCAUUUGACAGUUUUUUAUUAAUCUUGAGGAAAACUGAAUCAGGUUUUGUGUAAGUGAGAAAUGCUCACAUUAGUCUACAACUACAAUAAGCAUCAUGUUCACACAACAUCUCUGCACUCUCCAUUCUCUCAACAUGAGGGCAGGAGAGGCUUCAGUCAAUAUAUGGGAAAUCAGAAUAACUUGCAUUACUUAUAUGAAAAAGUAACUCAGAUAUUUAGUUGUAAUUUAAAGUAAUGCAUUACUUUAAUAACUUGUGUUGUAAUGCUUUAGCCCAACACAUGUUCAUUCACAGGAGGAUGAGUGUGAGAGACGAUGAUG
Long non-coding RNA from Megalobrama amblycephala (Wuchang bream), 1303 nucleotides. RefSeq lists it as uncharacterized. The transcript has 3 exons. NCBI's taxonomy places the organism in Eukaryota, Metazoa, Chordata, Actinopteri, Cypriniformes, Xenocyprididae. The record is from RefSeq and is a predicted model, not a curated record.